UUUUUUUUUUUUGUUGUCUGGUGUUAUUAAAAACAAGGUAAGGAUACAUAAGCCGGACACACCGGAAUCAAAGCUCGCAAAUUCCGACUAAACUAAGCUCGGAAUUUUGAGAGACAAAGCUCGCAAACUCCAACUAAACUAAGGUUGAAAUUUCGAGAGACAAAAGCCCGCAGAUUCCGACUAACUAAGCUCGAAAUCUCGAGAGACAAAGUCCGACUACCCGGGAAACAACUUCAUAUACAAACAAAGACUCUUAAAUGAGAUAUGCAAACACAACUAUUCAAAACUCAAAAACUAGACCAAACCCGAGAGCGGAAAACGAUUAGACAUGUUGGAACACCGAAAAUAACCAACCGAGGCUUCAACUCUACUUGUCCUCGCUUGAUGUAGGUAGACUUCAGAAAUUUGAAACUUGUGCUUCCUUGGGAUGGCAAGACGAAUCUUUCAAAAGAUAAUUGACAAGACCGACGAAACUGCCAGGGGCCGGAGAAAUCGAAACAAAUGUCGAAACCAGUUAGGAGGCAGCACAAACAAAACAGGUCUCGACCAAACCUGAAAUUAACUUCGUGUGGAGGAGACUAAACAGCCGCUUAAUCGACUCACCAAAACCUUCAGAGGGAAAGAAUGGUGACGGAUGCGAUUCGAUUAAGUCCUAGGAGAAGGCCAGCAAAGAGGAAUGAACAGAAAUGACAUAAACUCAUAACUUCCGCUGAGAACCAGAGACUGAGAGCCACAAAAACCGGACCAUAUGGCUAAACCAUACACACAGCCCGUCGAGAAAGGGCCAAACAACCAGCUAAUUCUCAGAUAACGACCAAGCUAACG
This 825-nucleotide long non-coding RNA is filed under the name Arabidopsis lyrata. RNAcentral describes it as "long non-coding RNA (ALYR_LNC003012)". The record is from RNAcentral. Lineage: Eukaryota; Viridiplantae; Streptophyta; Magnoliopsida; Brassicales; Brassicaceae.